RNAcentral lists this ribosomal RNA (776 nucleotides) under Ligilactobacillus salivarius. Its description in RNAcentral is "bacterial SSU rRNA". It matches the Rfam family "Bacterial small subunit ribosomal RNA", at positions 33 to 780 of the family's 1533-position model. Lineage: Bacteria; Bacillati; Bacillota; Bacilli; Lactobacillales; Lactobacillaceae. The record is from RNAcentral.
ACGAGGCGGCGUGCCUAAUACAUGCAAGUCGAACGAAACUUUCUUACACCGAAUGCUUGCAUUCACCGUAAGAAGUUGAGUGGCGGACGGGUGAGUAACACGUGGGUAACCUGCCUAAAAGAAGGGGAUAACACUUGGAAACAGGUGCUAAUACCGUAUAUCUCUAAGGAUCGCAUGAUCCUUAGAUGAAAGAUGGUUCUGCUAUCGCUUUUAGAUGGACCCGCGGCGUAUUAACUAGUUGGUGGGGUAACGGCCUACCAAGGUGAUGAUACGUAGCCGAACUGAGAGGUUGAUCGGCCACAUUGGGACUGAGACACGGCCCAAACUCCUACGGGAGGCAGCAGUAGGGAAUCUUCCACAAUGGACGCAAGUCUGAUGGAGCAACGCCGCGUGAGUGAAGAAGGUCUUCGGAUCGUAAAACUCUGUUGUUAGAGAAGAACACGAGUGAGAGUAACUGUUCAUUCGAUGACGGUAUCUAACCAGCAAGUCACGGCUAACUACGUGCCAGCAGCCGCGGUAAUACGUAGGUGGCAAGCGUUGUCCGGAUUUAUUGGGCGUAAAGGGAACGCAGGCGGUCUUUUAAGUCUGAUGUGAAAGCCUUCGGCUUAACCGGAGUAGUGCAUUGGAAACUGGAAGACUUGAGUGCAGAAGAGGAGAGUGGAACUCCAUGUGUAGCGGUGAAAUGCGUAGAUAUAUGGAAGAACACCAGUGGCGAAAGCGGCUCUCUGGUCUGUAACUGACGCUGAGGUUCGAAAGCGUGGGUAGCAACAGGAUAA